AAUAAAUAAUUAAUUAAAUAUAAUAAAUAAUUAAAUAAUUUAUUAUUUAAUUAUUUAUUA
RNAcentral lists this transfer RNA (60 nucleotides) under Ulva compressa. RNAcentral's name for it is "tRNA-Ile". Lineage: Eukaryota; Viridiplantae; Chlorophyta; Ulvophyceae; Ulvales; Ulvaceae. The record is from RNAcentral.